AGCCAUAGCCAUAUCACCCUGCAGCCCAAGACUGGUUGCCCACUGAAGCUAAGCAGGGUUGAGCCUGGUCAGUACCUGGAUGGGAGAUCUACUGGGAAAACUAGGUUGCUGUUGGAA
This 117-nucleotide ribosomal RNA is filed under the name Sinocyclocheilus grahami. The record is from RNAcentral. Lineage: Eukaryota; Metazoa; Chordata; Actinopteri; Cypriniformes; Cyprinidae.